CUUUAUUGGUCUCUUUUGACAAUAAAUUGAAUACAACUGUUAAGAUAAUGUGUUUAUAGAGAAUUAGACUAUAGUCACUUUUGAGCUGCUUUGGAUUUUGUUUUUGUCUUGUUUGCCAAAUUUUGCUUCAUAAUCAGGUGAUGUUAUUUUGAUGUCUUUUCUUUUUGGUGGGCAGAAAGAGAUAGACAAAAUGAAGUCCCUGAUAAUCACUGAAAUGACCACCUUAGAUAUUCUCAAGGGUUAUAGGGACGCAGAGGCAGCUGAAUUUCAUCGUGAACAAACAGACUGCGAGAGGGUGAAAGGUGAGCUGCAGAAAAAGUAUGAAGACGCUAUGUCUACAAUUACUCAGCUGGAGACUGAGGUGGAGCAACUGAGACAGACAUAUGCAGAAAAAUCUGAGGUAAAUCUCACAGGCAUAGAAUAAAUAUAGCUGGUUUACUGUAAAAAUCAUCGUUCAAGUAUUGGAUAAUUUCAAGUUAACUCAGAAAGCACAUAUUUACCCUUAAUCAGAAAAGCAGCUCCCCAUGAGAUGAUACUGAAUGAAACUGAAUAUUCCAAUGAAAACAUUUUAUUCAUAUUUGCAUUUGAUUAGAUCUAACAUGUUAGGCUAUAUUAUUAUUAAAAGGGGUGGUUGAUUGUGAUUUCACUUUUUUAAUGUUAGUUAGUGUGUAAUGUUGCUGUUUGAGCAUAAACAAUAUCUGCAAAGUUACGAAGCUGAAAGUUCAAUCAAAUGGAGAUAUCGUCUUUUAAAAUGCUGUCAGUUUAAUGCCUACAAAAAUGGCUCGUAGGGACUACAACGAGUUAUUUCCCGGGUUCGUGACAUCACAAACCCAGAUAAACACCGCCCCCGGGAAAAGGCAGCAAAGGGGGCGAGGCCAUGCUGCCUUGUUUUAGAGAAGAGGAAGAGAAAACUAGAGGUGCACAUAAAAAUCUAUUCAUAUAUGAAUCGCGAUUCUGUCUUCUAACGAUUCUAAUGGAUUCACAAGUUUCAAAAUCAAUGUUCUAAAGCAGCGGUUCUUAAUACUGUUCCUUGCGUC
RNAcentral lists this long non-coding RNA (1037 nucleotides) under Sinocyclocheilus anshuiensis. RNAcentral's name for it is "lncRNA (ENSSANG00000018455.1)". The record is from RNAcentral. Lineage: Eukaryota; Metazoa; Chordata; Actinopteri; Cypriniformes; Cyprinidae.